Long non-coding RNA from Erpetoichthys calabaricus (reedfish), 3211 nucleotides. RefSeq lists it as uncharacterized. Lineage: Eukaryota; Metazoa; Chordata; Cladistia; Polypteriformes; Polypteridae. The record is from RefSeq and is a predicted model, not a curated record. The transcript is spliced from 2 exons.
UUACAUCUUGCCUGAAGAAGGGGCCUGAGUUGCCUCGAAAGCUUGCAUAUUGUAAUCUUUUUAGUUAGCCAAUAAAAGGUGUCAUUUUACUUGACUUCUCACUGCAUUCAUAAUGACUAACACGGUACAACACCCUAGUACUACAAAUGUAGUGAAAACGCUAGCGUGAGAGGAAAUUGUUUUUUGUGUAAAAAUGCCACCUUUAAGUGAAAAUGUAGUAUUUUGGUCUUAGCCUUGGGCUAUGUCUGGCCUGAUUCUGAGGCUGGUAAUUUUCCCAGGCUACUCUUAAUUUAAAAAAUAGAUGUCUAUAUGUUGUAUUAUAUGCAGUGCCUUAAAAAAGUAUUCACCCCUCAACGCUGUUUAUGCAUUAAUGAUUUGUCACAACUUGGGAUUUUGAUCCAUUUUAUUGGGACAUCCAUCCAUCCGUUAUCCAACCCACUAUAUCCUAACUACAGGGUCACAGGGUUCUGCUGGAGCCAAUCCCAGCCAACACAGGGCGCAAGGCAGGAAACAAACCCCCGGCAGGGCGCCAGCCCACCAGUUUAUUGGGACAUUUUAUUUUUAAAUCCAAAACUUUCUGGGACAGUGCUGCCUAAAAAAGAAAGAAAGUAAUAUAACAUUAAAACAUGAAAUUCCAAAACCUGAACUGUCAACCAUUUGUAAGUGCUCAUUCCCCACAUCUUUUAUAGUGUCUAUUCAUUUGGAACAACAUGAUGGUGUGAGAUCUGCCCAUUCCUCCUUGUAAAUUUUCUCAAGCUGUGCAAGAUGAAGUGGGGAACAGCCAUGGACAGCAAUUAGCAGAUCUCACCACAGAUGUUCGAUGGGGGGUUAACUCAAGGACAUCCAUUUUCUUCAUGUGAAGACCCGUCCAUUGUUGCUCUUUGGCUCCUUGAUCUUCCUUCCCCGUUUUCUGUCAGAGGGCACCGGUUUUUACCUCCCUGAUCUGUCUGUGUGGUGUUCCAUGUAUCUGACCUGAUUGUCCAGUCCCACCACAGGGUGCUACCACAUUGGUGAUGGCGUCACCUAGCGUGUCUUGUUAGACUGACAACCACACGUACCACUUUGUGUUAAAGCCAACACUUUAGUCUCCUCAGGCCACAAGACAUUCUGCUGCAUCUUUUUAGGAUCUACCAAGUGAUUCUUUUCACUUAAGGACAUAAAUGUUUUGGGAUAAAAUGAAGGCGUAUUUUGUGCCAACGCUUUGCAGAUUGUUGAGCUAGACCCAAGCUCUCCAACCGUAAUCUCCUGCCAUCACAGUGGUCUGUGAGACCAGUGCCAUUCUUGAGGGCACCCUGACCUGGCAAUGUUCACGUAGCUUCCUGUUUCUUCCCCUUAUACACGAUGGACUGAGCUCUGAGGUCUGUUCAAUGCCUUUGAGGAGGUCUUUUGCCCAUUCCUCCUUCUGUACAUUUCUAGCCCCCCCGACUCUUUGGUCCUCAUCCUGGUUUGGACCUCAGGGACAGAAGGGCGAUUUAUCAGUGAACUGAAAACAGGUGACCACCAGAUGAGACCAUCAACACACUGGGGAAUCAUCUAAGUGAGCAAGAGGGGACCUGAGGUUGUCAAAGGGGGCUAGUAAGACUUUGGAAACCUCACAAUUUGGAUUUGUUCUUUAUAUGAAAUUAUUGAAUGGAUUUUAGCUUCUUUGUUCUGAUGUGUCAGGGUGGACAAUUUGGUAGAUCUUCUUGAAUUGAGAGUUUAGAGUAGGAGACCAUAAAAUGGAAACAUGUUUCGGAAGCUGAAUAUUGUUGAUUUUGAUAUACUUUAUUAAUCCUUUAGAGGAAAUAGAUUUUUUUGCAUGACCUUUGGGGGUCAGAGUGCAGGGUCAGACAUUUUACAACACCACCCUUGGAGUGAUUUUCAGUAAUUGGAUUUGAACAGGCAACCUUCCAAAUACCAGCACAGAUCCUAAGCCACAGAGCCACCACUCUGCCCCAGGUCACUAAUAAAAAUAAUGCGUUUAUAUAACAUCUUUGUAAUUCUCAGAUUACUUUACAAAUAUUUAAAAGGGAUAAGAUAAGUAACACUAGAUUCAAACGUAAAGCAAGCAUUAAGCAGCAAACAUCAGAUUAAAACUUGAAAGAUAACAUUCUGAAUAAGAAUGCGAAUUUGCACCCUUAGUGAUUCCCUGAGUAUUUGACUAUCACGUGAAGGUGGACAACAUGUCUGUGUUCCCAUGAUGCACCUGCAUAUACAUGUACUGUUUGUCUGGAUUGUACACUGAUCUGUGAUCUGUGUGUUGUUAUGCAUUAGAAUAUGUGACCGGUGCUCUGGAGUUUUCUGUUCAAGUUGUAUUAUUUCACAAAUUAAUUUGUUAAUGCGUUUUUGGGACCUGUGAUACUCCUCCAGCUGAUUAAUGUCACUCUGCCAAGUUGUUAGGACUACACGAUGGCUUAUGGAAAUUAAUUCUGAAAUAACCAGCUUCCAGUGCCAGUCUCACCAAAGAUGGGCAGAAUGUGAGCACAAAAGGGUACAGCAGUAAAAAUAUGAUAGCUGCCAGGAGGAAGAAGAGCUUCCAUGGCUGGAGGGCAUCGGAGUGUCUGGAUGAAGGCAGAGGAGUGGAGGAAGGGGUUACUUAUCUUAUUGAGUAUCUUAUCAUAUCAUCAUCAUCAUUAUUAUUAUUAUUAUUGUUGUUGUUAUCUUCUCUUAUUACUUAUUAAGUUAGAAAAGGGAACUUAUUGAACGUGUAAUGUGUGAAAUGAAGACAAAGAACAAACACAAAAGCUGUGACCUGGAGUCCCAUCUGUUCUUUCCUUUUCUUAAAGGGCAGGUUCAGUCUUCUGAAGUUAAAGUUAUUUCUUCACUUUUUUGGGGGCAGUCCGCCCUCGACAGCUCUUUUUUAGGGGCGGCACUUUAAAAAAAAACUUUAGCACUGCACUUUUUAGACAAUUUUGUUUGAUAGGUCUUUGAUAUGUUGAUAGGACGUUGAUAGGAAGCUCAUGUGUGUUAUCUAUGCCAAAAUUACACCAUUUUUAAUGUUUAAAAACUGUUACAAAUACAUACAGUAUGUUGGAAAGUUAUAUUUUACAAAUGCGAAUCUUGACCAGUUUAACUACUCACUCUGACCGAAGACUUACUCCGAAGAAAAGGGACAAACCCUUCAAUCUCAUUAUUAAUAUUUUAUUAUUCUCUCGAUCUAAAGGUGAAGCAAACAAAAGAGAGUGGUGCUGCUUUUAGAAAAAUCAAAAAAGGAAGAAGUAUUAAAAAAGAA